Molecule: ribosomal RNA, 460 nt
Filed under: uncultured bacterium
Lineage: Bacteria
Description: partial 16S ribosomal RNA
Rfam family: Bacterial small subunit ribosomal RNA
Source: RNAcentral
CCUACGGGUGGCUGCAGUGAGGAAUAUUGGUCAAUGGGCGAGAGUCUGAACCAGCCAAGUCGCGUGAAGGAUGACUGCCCUAUGGUUUGUAAACUUCUUUUAUAAAGGAAUAAAGUGAGGCACGUGUGCCUUUUUGUAUGUACUUUAUGAAUAAGGAUCGGCUAACUCCGUGCCAGCAGCCGCGGUAAUACGGAGGAUCCGAGCGUUAUCCGGAUUUAUUGGGUUUAAAGGGAGCGUAGAUGGGUUGUUAAGUCAGUUGUGAAAGUUUGCGGCUCAACCGUAAAAUUGCAAUUGAUACUGGCAGUCUUGAGUACAGUUGAGGUAGGCGGAAUUCGUGGUGUAGCGGUGAAAUGCUUAGAUAUCACGAAGAACCCCGAUUGCGAAGGCAGCUUACUAAACUGUGACUGACAUUGAUGCUCGAAAGUGUGGGUAUCAAACAGGAUUAGAUACCCUAGUAGUC